RNAcentral lists this ribosomal RNA (713 nucleotides) under Curtobacterium sp. B155F. Its description in RNAcentral is "bacterial SSU rRNA". It matches the Rfam family "Bacterial small subunit ribosomal RNA", at positions 61 to 786 of the family's 1533-position model. Lineage: Bacteria; Bacillati; Actinomycetota; Actinomycetes; Micrococcales; Microbacteriaceae. The record is from RNAcentral.
GUCGAACGAUGAUGCCCAGCUUGCUGGGUGGAUUAGUGGCGAACGGGUGAGUAACACGUGAGUAACCUGCCCCUGACUCUGGGAUAAGCGUUGGAAACGACGUCUAAUACUGGAUAUGAUCACUGGCCGCAUGGUCUGGUGGUGGAAAGAUUUUUUGGUUGGGGAUGGACUCGCGGCCUAUCAGCUUGUUGGUGAGGUAAUGGCUCACCAAGGCGACGACGGGUAGCCGGCCUGAGAGGGUGACCGGCCACACUGGGACUGAGACNCGGCCCAGACUCCUACGGGAGGCAGCAGUGGGGAAUAUUGCACAAUGGGCGAAAGCCUGAUGCAGCAACGCCGCGUGAGGGAUGACGGCCUUCGGGUUGUAAACCUCUUUUAGUAGGGAAGAAGCGAAAGUGACGGUACCUGCAGAAAAAGCACCGGCUAACUACGUGCCAGCAGCCGCGGUAAUACGUAGGGUGCAAGCGUUGUCCGGAAUUAUUGGGCGUAAAGAGCUCGUAGGCGGUUUGUCGCGUCUGCUGUGAAAUCCCGAGGCUCAACCUCGGGCUUGCAGUGGGUACGGGCAGACUAGAGUGCGGUAGGGGAGAUUGGAAUUCCUGGUGUAGCGGUGGAAUGCGCAGAUAUCAGGAGGAACACCGAUGGCGAAGGCAGAUCUCUGGGCCGUAACUGACGCUGAGGAGCGAAAGCAUGGGGAGCGAACAGGAUUAGAUACC